AUUGAACGCUGGCGGCAGGCCUAACACAUGCAAGUCGAGCGGCUGCAGGGAGCUUGCUCCUGGAUUCAGCUGCGGACUGGUGAGUAAUGCCUAGGAAUCUGCCUGUUAGUUUUGUAUAACGCCCGGACACGGGCGCUCAUACCGCAUACGUCCUGAGGGCGUACGUGUGGAAUCUUCGGACCUCCCGCUCUCAGAUGAUCCUAUGUCGGAUUAUCUAGUUGGUGGGGUAAAGGCCUACCAAGGCGACGAUCCGUAACUGGUCUGAGAGGAUGAUCAGUCAAAAUGGAACUGAGAAAAGGGCCAGAAUCCUAAGGGAAGCAGGAGUGGGGAAUAAUGGAAAAAGGGCGGAAGCCUGAACCAGCCAAGACGGGGGGGGGAAGAAGGGCUUUGGAGUUGAAAGGACCUUAAGUUGGGAGAAAAGGCAAGAAGUUAAUAACCUGGUGGUUUGAAGUGAACAAAAGAAUAAGGACCGGACAAAUUCGUG
RNAcentral lists this ribosomal RNA (484 nucleotides) under uncultured bacterium. Its description in RNAcentral is "partial 16S ribosomal RNA". It matches the Rfam family "Bacterial small subunit ribosomal RNA", at positions 30 to 507 of the family's 1533-position model. The record is from RNAcentral.